RNAcentral lists this long non-coding RNA (234 nucleotides) under Sinocyclocheilus anshuiensis. Its description in RNAcentral is "lncRNA (ENSSANG00000013719.1)". The record is from RNAcentral. Lineage: Eukaryota; Metazoa; Chordata; Actinopteri; Cypriniformes; Cyprinidae.
AGAGGAUCUGGGUCUUGUGCUCUGGAUCUGCCGGCGUGCAACUCACAUCUCUGAGCUGGUCUGCUCCUGCAGUAGAGAAGGACUUGAAGGAUCUCCGCAGCCUGCAGGAAUGCGUUAAGUUUAUCACUCAGUGGAAACAGCAGGUGGAACAUGUCAGCAGGCCUGGCUCCAGUGCAGAUGAAGGCCCAAAUAUCAAUGUGCAUGCAGAGCCGUAUAGUCUGAAGCAAUGCCGCA